UACAUGGGGUGCAAACGUUGCUCGGAAUCAUUGGGCGUAAAGCGCGCGUAGGCGGUUUGUUGCGUCGGCUGUGAAAUCCCGAGGCUCAACCUCGGGUCUGCAGUCGAUACGAGCAAACUAGAGUGUUGCAGGGGAGACUGGAAUUCCUGGUGUAGCGGUGAAAUGCGCAGAUAUCAGGAGGAACACCGGUGGCGAAGGCGGGUCUCUGGGCAACAACUGACGCUGAGGAGCGAAAGCGUGGGGAGCGAACAGG
Molecule: ribosomal RNA, 253 nt
Filed under: uncultured bacterium
Lineage: Bacteria
Description: partial 16S ribosomal RNA
Rfam family: Bacterial small subunit ribosomal RNA
Source: RNAcentral